Molecule: ribosomal RNA, 1446 nt
Filed under: Salmonella enterica subsp. enterica serovar Poona
Lineage: Bacteria; Pseudomonadati; Pseudomonadota; Gammaproteobacteria; Enterobacterales; Enterobacteriaceae
Description: bacterial SSU rRNA
Rfam family: Bacterial small subunit ribosomal RNA
Source: RNAcentral
GCUGCUUUGCUGACGAGUGGCGGACGGGUGAGUAAUGUCUGGGAAACUGCCUGAUGGAGGGGGAUAACUACUGGAAACGGUGGCUAAUACCGCAUAACGUCGCAAGACCAAAGAGGGGGACCUUCGGGCCUCUUGCCAUCAGAUGUGCCCAGAUGGGAUUAGCUUGUUGGUGAGGUAACGGCUCACCAAGGCGACGAUCCCUAGCUGGUCUGAGAGGAUGACCAGCCACACUGGAACUGAGACACGGUCCAGACUCCUACGGGAGGCAGCAGUGGGGAAUAUUGCACAAUGGGCGCAAGCCUGAUGCAGCCAUGCCGCGUGUAUGAAGAAGGCCUUCGGGUUGUAAAGUACUUUCAGCGGGGAGGAAGGUGUUGUGGUUAAUAACCGCAGCAAUUGACGUUACCCGCAGAAGAAGCACCGGCUAACUCCGUGCCAGCAGCCGCGGUAAUACGGAGGGUGCAAGCGUUAAUCGGAAUUACUGGGCGUAAAGCGCACGCAGGCGGUCUGUCAAGUCGGAUGUGAAAUCCCCGGGCUCAACCUGGGAACUGCAUUCGAAACUGGCAGGCUUGAGUCUUGUAGAGGGGGGUAGAAUUCCAGGUGUAGCGGUGAAAUGCGUAGAGAUCUGGAGGAAUACCGGUGGCGAAGGCGGCCCCCUGGACAAAGACUGACGCUCAGGUGCGAAAGCGUGGGGAGCAAACAGGAUUAGAUACCCUGGUAGUCCACGCCGUAAACGAUGUCUACUUGGAGGUUGUGCCCUUGAGGCGUGGCUUCCGGAGCUAACGCGUUAAGUAGACCGCCUGGGGAGUACGGCCGCAAGGUUAAAACUCAAAUGAAUUGACGGGGGCCCGCACAAGCGGUGGAGCAUGUGGUUUAAUUCGAUGCAACGCGAAGAACCUUACCUGGUCUUGACAUCCACAGAACAUUCCAGAGAUGGAUUGGUGCCUUCGGGAACUGUGAGACAGGUGCUGCAUGGCUGUCGUCAGCUCGUGUUGUGAAAUGUUGGGUUAAGUCCCGCAACGAGCGCAACCCUUAUCCUUUGUUGCCAGCGGUCCGGCCGGGAACUCAAAGGAGACUGCCAGUGAUAAACUGGAGGAAGGUGGGGAUGACGUCAAGUCAUCAUGGCCCUUACGACCAGGGCUACACACGUGCUACAAUGGCGCAUACAAAGAGAAGCGACCUCGCGAGAGCAAGCGGACCUCAUAAAGUGCGUCGUAGUCCGGAUUGGAGUCUGCAACUCGACUCCAUGAAGUCGGAAUCGCUAGUAAUCGUGGAUCAGAAUGCCACGGUGAAUACGUUCCCGGGCCUUGUACACACCGCCCGUCACACCAUGGGAGUGGGUUGCAAAAGAAGUAGGUAGCUUAACCUUCGGGAGGGCGCUUACCACUUUGUGAUUCAUGACUGGGGUGAAGUCGUAACAAGGUAACCGUAGGGGAACCUGCGGUUGGA